UCUUUGAAUUGAAGCGGUACCUCUGCUUCCUAAACGGUGGAACUGUAGCUGUCUGUCUGUGCUUCUCUUCACGUACCUCAGACUGGGCAUCUGGCAGUGACAGGAUGGCCAGAUACCUCUUCUACUUCCAGCCUCAUGCCUGCAUUCCUGGCAGGAAGAAGAAGGGGACAGAAUGAAGCCUACGUGUAUCAGGAAAGCAACCAUUUCCCAGAAAUCUCUGGCAGACUUUUCGAUUAUUUUUCAUCGGCUCUGAAUUCCGUACUUCCCUUUAGAUGUGUUGUUGAGCCUCUGACUCAUGACCUCAGGGCGGAGAGUUCAAGCCCUGCACUGGGUUUGAAGAUUACGGGAAAACAACAACAACAAACCGUCUGUAACUUCACAAAUCUAUCACUUUGGAAGCUGGUGGCAACAAGCUGGCAGGAAAUAUGGGACUUAGGAAAAGCAAACACACUCUAUUUGCUAAUGAUCACUAAACAUUUGUAACCAAG
This 488-nucleotide long non-coding RNA is filed under the name Felis catus (domestic cat). Its description in RNAcentral is "lncRNA (ENSFCAG00000050928.1)". The record is from RNAcentral. Lineage: Eukaryota; Metazoa; Chordata; Mammalia; Carnivora; Felidae.